RNAcentral lists this ribosomal RNA (323 nucleotides) under uncultured eukaryote. Its description in RNAcentral is "partial 18S ribosomal RNA". It matches the Rfam family "Eukaryotic small subunit ribosomal RNA", at positions 1470 to 1796 of the family's 1831-position model. The record is from RNAcentral.
CCCUUAGAUGUUCUGGGCCGCACGCGCACUACACUGAUACAUGCAACGAGUUUAUAACCUUGAUCUGACGGUCUGGGUAAUCUUCAAACUGUAUCGUGUUAGGGAUCGAUUCUUGCAAUUUUUAAUCGUAAACGAGGAAUUCCUAGUAAACGCAAGUCAUCAGCUUGCAUUGAUUACGUCCCUGCCCUUUGUACACACCGCCCGUCGACUCUACCGAUUGAAUGGUUCGGUGAAAACUUUGGACUGUGGCAUUGUCCUUCAUUGGACUUCGCCGUAGGAAAUUGUUUAAACCUCAUCAUUUAGAGGAAGAAUAAGUCGUAACA